UCAUGCUGUGAGGCUCAAAUGCCUCAUGUUGAGCAGCUAAAUAUUUUCCUGCCCCAUGUGUCCAUUUCUAAUUUGAAUCUCUCUGUGACUACUGUCCACCUGAUUAAUUUAGAUGUGACCAGCAGAGUCCCUGGGUAAAAUGUCAGUGUCAGGAGCCUCUGCUGUGCAAAGGCUGCCAGCCAAUCCCUACCACGGCAGGGAGGAAUGCCCACACAGCCACCACUAUUCACAGCAACGCCUCGGCAAACUCUGCGACCUCAUUCUCUAUUUCAACGCAUGCUGGGUAGCAAAAAGCCUACAGACUUUCCAAAAAGAUCUGUGAUCAGGAAAGUUCAUUACUUUGAAAACUGCCUUUUUGACACUGUCUUUUGAAGUUUUGCAAAGCAGAAGUGUAGGGGACACCAGGACUGCCUCCAGGACACCAGACUCCGACUGCCAUCUCUGGGAACAGAUCCAGCAGGCUGCACUAGUGCAAAAGAGUACACUAGCUACUAUAAAAUAGGAAGUAUGUUUUCAAUUCAGAAGGAAGCAAUCAACUGAUCACACCAAGAAGUCACAUCUACUCAUUCCAGGGGGACCUUCAAGGUGCUGGUCUGGAUUUCAUAAGGUGCUUGAUAGUGAAGGGCCCACCUGGGUAAGCAGUGCUUUUUUUCUCCCUGUGUGUGACUGAAGAAAUAGAUGGGCAUUUUUCAUUUCGUUUUGGAUUUGGGUUUUUACAGCUGCAUCAGAAGUUGAGCUGCAGGCGCAUGGUCUAAAGCUGUGCUCCUACCACAGCCUGACACAUCGCCACUCGUGGAGCUGCUGGGAACUGCAUGUACAUUAAGUAUCAGAGGUUCUCGCUUCUUAAUGUUUAUCUUAUAUAUGUACUCAAUGACUAAGGAAAAGAGGCUUGUUCAUUUCUAUUUGCUAGCCUGAUUUUCAAAGUCUCUUAUUACCUACACACUCCCUGUUGUGUUCCAAGAAAUCUGAGUGCUGAGCACUUCCAAAGAGCAGGUGAAAAGAGAAGUGCACAUUUCUACAUACAGAGUCUAACCUGCAACAAAUAUUUAAAUAAUGUCAUUAAAAACAAGGGCAAAUUUAAAGAGGUUCUGAGAAGGUCUGAGAAAUUAUGACUGCUGCUGAGUGUGUAAAAGUUUCCUGUGAAUGCUUCACAGAAAUUUCCUGUUAGAAAAAAACAGAAAAAAAAAAAAACAAACAAAAAAGAGGUGAUCUGUACACAGUUCACUGUCACAAGACAGCUACAUACACUGACAUUACAGCAUGGGGCUGUCAGUUAAACAAAAAGCAACUAAUUCUGCAUCAUGAAACUGCGCAGAUGCAUAAAGGGUAAAGAGAAGCAGAGCACAAGUUUGCAUGCUGCCCGUUAUGCAGAAAAGAAAGAACAAUUUAAGUAUUUACUGUAACUGUGCAAUACCCCACAGCAGUUCAGGAAGGGCUGCAGAGGGGAGAAAAGUAUUCUAGAAACAUAACAGGGAUUUCCAUAUGACUUUCACUGCUUUUAGGGUAUUUUAACAUU
Athene cunicularia (burrowing owl) is the source of this 1516-nucleotide long non-coding RNA. RefSeq lists it as uncharacterized. Lineage: Eukaryota; Metazoa; Chordata; Aves; Strigiformes; Strigidae. The transcript is spliced from 3 exons. The record is from RefSeq and is a predicted model, not a curated record.